Heterocephalus glaber (naked mole-rat) is the source of this 1411-nucleotide long non-coding RNA. The record is from Ensembl. NCBI's taxonomy places the organism in Eukaryota, Metazoa, Chordata, Mammalia, Rodentia, Bathyergidae.
AGAAGGCAGCCUUGCUGCUGGUUGUUGCUGCUGCUCCUGCUUUUUUAAUGGACUGUUUCUCCCAUGCAGUGACCCUCUGCCAUGCUGCCCUGCCUUAGAGCCAUCCACCUAUGUACUGACUCCUCUACAAACUGUGAGCUGAACUAAACAUUUCCUCCCUCAGCCUUGCUGCUGGUUGUUGCUGCUGCUCCUGCUUUUUUAAUGGACUGUUUCUCCCAUGCAGUGACCCUCUGCCAUGCUGCCCUGCCUUAGAGCCAUCCACCUAUGUACUGACUCCUCUACAAACUUGACCCUCUGCCAUGCUGCCCUGCCUUAGAGCCAUGCAUCUAUGUACUGACUCCUCUACAAACUGUUCCAUGGAAACAUACUACUGUAAAAGUCCAUCAUGACACGGGAACUUGCUCCAUGCUGUAGUGACAAGGCACAAUUCUUCAGCUCUCAGGAUGAUGACUGUACCAUGUAAAGAGGAACCUAGCACAGUGAUGGCCCCACGUCACAUGCCCUGGGGCACUCAGCCUCUGAUGGAAAUCUCUGGUCACCCCCCCCCCACCACCCCGCACCCCACCCCAGGUCAGGACUCUCAUCAUGGCCGUAGGUUUCUGCAGGUCUCUUCUGCUCCUCCCUGGAUAGGGACUGCAUGGGUGGGAGAGACAUGGUGCGUCGUCAUUAACACUCAAAGCUAUUUUGAUUUGGUUACAAGAUUUACAACUCCUCUGAAUCCAAAAAGGACUAGAAGCUUGCAUUACCAAUUUAUACAUAUAGAAGAACAAAUAAAAUUUAAAUUAAGCCUGAGCAAUAAUGACAAAAGACAGAAGGAUCAAUUGUUCAUUUGACUAAGAUACUAAGAUAGCCAGGCAUGGUGGCACAUACCUGUUAUCCCAGCCUCCAGGAGGCUGAUGCAGGAGAAUUAUCAUUUGAGGCCAGCCUAACCUACAUAGUGAGACCCCGUCUCAAAAAACAAAAACAAAAACACACAUAAUUUCGAGCUCCUGGUCCCAAGCCCAAGGCACAAGAAACUGUAUCAUGCUGUUCUAUUGUCUCACAGAGGUUGGGAUUCUCAGGUAGACGGGACAGAGUGCUCUGUUUGAGCAGGAAGGAUUCCCUUAGAUCCCUGGGAAGGGGCCUCCUGCUGCAGAGUAAGCAGUGGUGCAGAGGAGAGGCCUUCUAGAAGGAUUCAGCGGCCACUCUGCCUCCAGGUUUCUUAUUUACAUAUCUCUUCUUCCCCACUCCCAGGGCCCCGACUUGGUGUUUACCAGUGAAUUCAUUGUGAAAGUGCAGCUCCAGUCACCUCUGGAACCUGCAGAUGGCAUAAUUAGGGAGCAGGGCACUGAUGGUGUUAGUGGACAGCACUGAGCGAGGUCACGCUUGUGUGCAUCAUUACCCCCACUGUGUCUGCACCCCUCCUCAUGAU